GAAACGACACCAUGGCCAACCAUUGGACAACCAACGCAUGCUGAAGAUUCAUCAUCUAAGGCAGCACAGGUGACUGGGAUGUCCACUGCUGAACCCUCAACAAUACAAACAGUUCAUGAAACUGUCAACGUGUCAACACCAAGUGAUCCAGAUAUGAAAAAGAUGCAAGAAAGACAUAACAUUGUUCAGUGGAUCGUGCCAGUUUUGGGAAUUUUCAUUGUAGUUUCUGCUAUAACCAUACUGGUGGUCAAGAAAAAACAGCAGAAAAUUGGCUCCUUUACCAUAUUAGAAAAAAGUGUGAAUGAAACCCUGUCUGCAAACUCUGACUCUAGCCAAGGCCCACCUAGCAGUGAAAUAUUGAUGGAGCUCAUGGAUUCCUCGCAGCAUCACUUUGUAACACAAUGAACUAUUUUGUAAAAGUGUAACAUUAAACAACAUUUACUAUUCAAUUAACAUCAUCAUAACAUGUACACAGAGUAACCCCCCUUGAUUCACUGGGGAAAUGGCUCAUUUAUCAACAAUCUAUAGACAUUAGAGAUGUGGCUUGACUUUUAAUUUAAUUAAUAUAUACCUUCAUACUUUUUGUUUGCAAAGCUAUGAUUAUUUAACAACUAAACUUGUUUUUUCUAUUAACAACCAUCAUUAAUCACCAGUUUUUCUCUAGUGCCUUAUCUUUCAGAUAGAGGCAAAAAAGAUGCAAUGAUUUAACAUCAAUUUAAGCAUUAAACUUUAAAGAACUUAUGGGUAUACACUUAUAAUGCUAAUAUACCCAUCAUCAAGCUAAAGUAUAAAUGUAUAUGUAAAUGUAUGUGAAUUUUGUGCUUAUACUGAUUGAAAUUGGCCCCAAUAUAUAUAAAUAUGUAUGCUGUGUAAACUGGGGAAUAAACAAUUAAAA
Clupea harengus (Atlantic herring) is the source of this 895-nucleotide long non-coding RNA. NCBI's taxonomy places the organism in Eukaryota, Metazoa, Chordata, Actinopteri, Clupeiformes, Clupeidae. The record is from Ensembl.